GGUUCUGGUCGUAAAAUUCUGAUUUCAAAGCAUACCUCACUUCAGAAAAUAAGAAUUGUGGGAAAUACAUUGAAGGUCAUAUCCAGUUUUAACAUGCAUGUACUUGACAUAGCUGUUAAUCAUAACAAUGACAUCCUACUGGCCAUUAAUGAAUCAAGACUAAUGCAGAUUUAUGCUGGAUCUACAUACGAGAUAGAUUCCACAUACUUUGUAGAAUCAGUACUUCUACACACGGUUCAUGUGACCAAAGAUGGUAGAGUGAUUGUUGGUGGAUUUAAUGGGGUGGUUGUUGUAAUGGACACUGAUGGUAACCAUCUGGCAAGAUAUGAAAAGGAUCAAACCAAUGAACAAAUAUUCUCUAAAAGUAUUACAUCUAUAACCAGCACCGCCAACGGGAAUAUUUUCGUGGCAAGUCCAUAUGACAAUAAACUGGUAGUGUUUGGGAACACAGAUAUCAUCAGUAUAUACAAUGGACAUUCUGAAGUUAACUUUUGGGGAGGAAGUAGAUUCUCUCCAUCCUCAGUAGUAACCACACCUAUGGACAAUGUUAUUGUGGCUGACCUCUACAGUAAUACACUCCAUAUUUUGAAUAACUCCGGUCACCUUUUGACUACAUACAAUAGCAAGGACAUGGGAAUAUCAAUGCCUCAUCAUCUAGCUAUCACAACAG
RNAcentral lists this long non-coding RNA (670 nucleotides) under Mytilus galloprovincialis (Mediterranean mussel). Lineage: Eukaryota; Metazoa; Mollusca; Bivalvia; Mytilida; Mytilidae. The record is from RNAcentral.